This 812-nucleotide ribosomal RNA is filed under the name Brucella sp. RNAcentral's name for it is "bacterial SSU rRNA". The record is from RNAcentral. Lineage: Bacteria; Pseudomonadati; Pseudomonadota; Alphaproteobacteria; Hyphomicrobiales; Brucellaceae.
GCAAGUCGAGCGGGCCCUUCGGGGUCAGCGGCAGACGGGUGAGUAACGCGUGGGAACGUACCAUUUGCUACGGAAUAACUCAGGGAAACUUGUGCUAAUACCGUAUGAGCCCCCCUUUAAAAUUUCAGGAAUCAUAAAAUGCCCUGGCAUUUUAUGGGGGGGAAAGAUUUAUCGGCAAAUGAUCGGCCCGCGUUGGAUUAUCUAGUUGGUGGGGUAAAGGCCUACCAAGGCGACRAUCCAUAGCUGGUCUGAGAGGAUGAUCAGCCACACUGGGACUGAGACACGGCCCASACUCCUACGGGAGGCAGCAGUGGGGAAUAUUGGACAAUGGGCGCAAGCCUGAUCCAGCCAUGCCGCGUGAGUGAUGAAGGCCCUAGGGUUGUAAAGCUCUUUCACCGGUGAAGAUAAUGACGGUAACCGGAGAAGAAGCCCCGGCUAACUUCRUGCCAGCAGCCGCGGUAAUACGAAGGGGGCUAGCGUUGUUCGGAUUUACUGGGCGUAAAGCGCACGUAGGCGGGCUAAUAAGUCAGGGGUGAAAUCCCGGGGCUCAACCCCGGAACUGCCUUUGAUACUGUUAGUCUUGAGUAUGGUAGAGGUGAGUGGAAUUCCGAGUGUASAGGUGAAAUUCGUAKAUMUUCGGAKGAACACCAGUGGCGAAGGCRGCUCACUGGACCAUUACUGACGCUGAKGUGCGAAAGCGUGGGGAGCAAACAGGAUUAGAUACCCUGGUAGUCCACKCCGUAAACKAUGAAUGUUAGCCGUUGGGGAGUUUACUCUUCGGUGGCGCAACUAACGCAUUAAACAUUCCGCCU